GAUGAAGAACGUAGCGAAAUGCGAUACGUAAUGUGAAUUGCAGAAUUCAGUGAAUCAUCGAGUCUUUGAACGCACAUUGCGCCCCCUGGUAUUCCGGGGGGCAUGCCUGUCCGAGCGUCAUUGCUGCCCUCAAGCACGGCUUGUGUGUUGGGCCUCCGUCCUCCUCCCGGGGGACGGGCCCGAAAGGCAGCGGCGGCACCGCGUCCGGUCCUCGAGCGUAUGGGGCUUUGUCACCCGCUCGGGACGGACUCGUCGGCGCUGGUCUUCCUCCAGGCGACCCUUCGGGGCUCGUCUUCCUUCGGUUGACCUCGGAUCAGGUAGGGUUACCCGCUGAACUUAAGCAUAUCAAUAAGCGGAGGA
This 360-nucleotide unclassified non-coding RNA is filed under the name soil metagenome. RNAcentral describes it as "partial contains 5.8S ribosomal RNA, internal transcribed spacer 2, and large subunit ribosomal RNA". The stretch from base 1 to 120 matches the Rfam family "5.8S ribosomal RNA", at positions 35 to 154 of the family's 154-position model. The record is from RNAcentral.